ACUGCGAGUGAGCGGGAAAGCUCAAAUUUAAAAUCUGGCAGUCUUUGGCUGUCCGAGUUGUAUUCUAGAGAAGCGCUUUCCGUGCCGGACCGUGUACAAGUCUCUUGGAACAGAGCGUCAUAGAGGGUGAGAAUCCCGUCUUUGACACGGACUACCGGUGCUUUGUGAUGCGUUUUCAAAGAGUCGAGUUGUUUGGGAAUGCAGCUCAAAAUGGGUGGUAAAUUCCAUCUAAAGCUAAAUAUUGGCGAGAGACCGAUAGCGAACAAGUACCGUGAGGGAAAGAUGAAAAGCACUUUGGAAAGAGAGUUAAACAGUACGUGAAAUUGCUGAAAGGGAAACGCUUGAAGUCAGUCGCGUUGUUCAGAACUCAGCCUGGCUUUUGCUUGGUGCACUUUCUGAAUGACGGGCCAGCAUCAAUUUNGACUGUUGGAUAAAGGCNAGAGAAAUGUGGCUCCUUUGGGAGUGUUAUAGUCUCUGGUUGCAUACAAUGGUUGGGAUUGAGGAACUCAGCAUGCCUUUAUGGUCGGGGUUCGCCCACGUUCAUGCUUAGGAUGCUGGCGUAAUGGCUUUAAACGACCCGUCUUGAAACACGGACCAAGGAGUCUAACAUGCCUGCGAGUGUUUGGGUGGAAAACCCGAGCGCGCAAUGAAAGUGAAAGUUGGGAUCCCUGUCGUGGGGAGCACUGACGCCCGGACCAGACCUUCUGUGACGGAUCCGCGGUAGAGCAUGUAUGUUGGGACCCGAAAGAUGGUGAACUAUGCCUGAAUAGGGUGAAGCCAGAGGAAACUCUGGUGGAGGCUCGUAGCGAUUCUGACGUGCAAAUCGAUCGUCAAAUUUGGGUAUAGGG
RNAcentral lists this ribosomal RNA (848 nucleotides) under Physisporinus cf. 2 eminens RS-2021. Its description in RNAcentral is "partial 28S ribosomal RNA". It matches the Rfam family "Eukaryotic large subunit ribosomal RNA", at positions 86 to 922 of the family's 3401-position model. The record is from RNAcentral. Lineage: Eukaryota; Fungi; Basidiomycota; Agaricomycetes; Polyporales; Meripilaceae.